AGAGUUUGAUCCUGGCUCAGAACGAACGCUGGCGGCAUGCCUAACACAUGCAAGUCGAACGCUUGUCCGGCUUCGGCCGGACAGGAGUGGCGCACGGGUGAGUAGCGCGUGGGAACCUGCCCUGUUGUGGGGGAUAACCGAGGGAAACUUCGGCUAAUACCGCAUGCGCCCGGGGAAACUCGGGGAAAGAUUUAUCGCAGCAGGAGGGGCCCGCGUCGGAUUAGCUAGUUGGCGGGGUAACGGCCCACCAAGGCUCCGAUCCGUAGCUGGUCUGAGAGGAUGAUCAGCCACACUGGGACUGAGACACGGCCCAGACUCCUACGGGAGGCAGCAGUGGGGAAUAUUGGACAAUGGGCGCAAGCCUGAUCCAGCAAUGCCGCGUGAGUGAUGAAGGCCUUAGGGUUGUAAAGCUCUUUCGCCCGCGACGAUGAUGACGGUAGCGGGAGAAGAAGCCCCGGCUAACUUCGUGCCAGCAGCCGCGGUAAUACGAAGGGGGCGAGCGUUGUUCGGAUUUACUGGGCGUAAAGGGCGCGUAGGCGGCCCUCCUUGUCGCGUGUGAAAGCCCCGGGCUCAACCUGGGAAUUGCGCGCGAAACGGGGGGGCUUGAGUUCGGGAGAGGAGCGUGGAAUUCCCAGUGUAGAGGUGAAAUUCGUAGAUAUUGGGAAGAACACCGGUGGCGAAGGCGGCGCUCUGGACCGAGACUGACGCUGAGGCGCGAAAGCGUGGGGAGCAAACAGGAUUAGAUACCCCGGUAGUCC
This 758-nucleotide ribosomal RNA is filed under the name uncultured bacterium. Its description in RNAcentral is "bacterial SSU rRNA". It matches the Rfam family "Bacterial small subunit ribosomal RNA", at positions 8 to 796 of the family's 1533-position model. The record is from RNAcentral.